UACGUAGGCAGCAAGCGUUGUUCGGAGUUACCGGGCGUAAAGGGUGCGUAGGCGGUUGUUUAAGUUUGGUGUGAAAUCUCCCGGCUCAACUGGGAGGGUGCGCCGAAUACUGAAUGACUAGAGUGCGGGAGAGGAGAGUGGAAUUCCUGGUGUAGCGGUGAAAUGCGUAGAUAUCAGGAGGAACACCGGUGGUGUAGACGGCUCUCUGGACCGUAACUGACGCUGAGGCACGAAAGCGUGGGUAGCAAACAGG
RNAcentral lists this ribosomal RNA (253 nucleotides) under uncultured bacterium. Its description in RNAcentral is "partial 16S ribosomal RNA". It matches the Rfam family "Bacterial small subunit ribosomal RNA", at positions 524 to 776 of the family's 1533-position model. The record is from RNAcentral.